This 220-nucleotide long non-coding RNA is filed under the name Gallus gallus (chicken). Lineage: Eukaryota; Metazoa; Chordata; Aves; Galliformes; Phasianidae. The record is from RNAcentral.
CACCUCCUCAGCCUGGGCAGGAAGGUCCCUCGAGAGGGAGGCCUGGAUCCAUGCAUUUCCUGAACUGAGGGCUUCCAAAGAAGCCACAGAGAGGACAUUCUGCAGGAGAAGAACAGCAAAACAGAUUUCUCCCGCUGUAAAAUGUGCAAGUCCACUGACUUGGCACUGCUCCGUGACUCAGCGAGAGCAAUCAGAGCUGGUCCUGCAGGGAAAGGCUCAC